CCUACGGGAGGCAGCAGUGGGGAAUAUUGGGCAAUGGGCGCAAGCCUGACCCAGCAACGCCGCGUGAAGGAAGAAGGCUUUCGGGUUGUAAACCUCUUUUCUCAGGGACGAAGCAAGUGCCGGUACCUGAGGAAUAAGCCACGGCUAACUACGUGCCAGCAGCCGCGGUAAUACGGAGGUGGCAAGCGUUCUCCGGAUUUACUGGGUGUAAAGGGCGUGUAGGCGGGAAAGCAAGUCAGAUGUGAAAACCAUGGGCUCAACCUGUGGCGUGCAUUUGAAACUGUUUUGCUUGAGUACUGGAGAGGUAGGCGGAAUGCGCAGUGUAGCGGUGAAAUGCGUAGAUAUUAGGAGGAACACCAGUGGCGAAGGCGGUCUGCUGGACAGCAACUGACGCUGAGGCGCGAAAGCGUGGGGAGCAAACAGGAUUAGAUACCCCAGUAGUC
RNAcentral lists this ribosomal RNA (443 nucleotides) under uncultured bacterium. Its description in RNAcentral is "partial 16S ribosomal RNA". It matches the Rfam family "Bacterial small subunit ribosomal RNA", at positions 338 to 795 of the family's 1533-position model. The record is from RNAcentral.